This 460-nucleotide ribosomal RNA is filed under the name uncultured bacterium. RNAcentral's name for it is "partial 16S ribosomal RNA". It matches the Rfam family "Bacterial small subunit ribosomal RNA", at positions 338 to 795 of the family's 1533-position model. The record is from RNAcentral.
CCUACGGGUGGCAGCAGUGAGGAAUAUUGGUCAAUGGGCGCGAGCCUGAACCAGCCAAGUCGCGUGAGGGAGGACGGCCCUACGGGUUGUAAACCUCUUUUGCCGGGGAGCAACAGGCUUCACGUGUGGCGCCACUGAGAGUACCCGGAGAAAAAGCAUCGGCUAACUCCGUUCCAGCAGCCGCGGUAAUACGGAGGAUGCGAGCGUUAUCCGGAUUUAUGGGGUUAAAGGGGUGCUUAGGCGGAUCGUUAAGUCAGUGGGCAAGUUGAGGGGCUAAACCCCUUCCCGCCAUUGAAACUGGCGCUCUUGAGUGGAAGAGAAGUAUGCGGAAUGCGUGGUGUAGCGGUGAAAUGCAUAGAUAUCACGCAGAACCCCGAUUGCGAAGGCAGCAUGCCGGCUUCCGACUGACGCUGAAGCACGAAAGCGUGGGGAUCGAACAGGAUUAGAUACCCCGGUAGUC